RNAcentral lists this ribosomal RNA (468 nucleotides) under uncultured bacterium. Its description in RNAcentral is "partial 16S ribosomal RNA". It matches the Rfam family "Bacterial small subunit ribosomal RNA", at positions 28 to 507 of the family's 1533-position model. The record is from RNAcentral.
GACGAACGCUGGCGGCGUGCUUAACACAUGCAAGUCGAACGGAAAGGCCCUGCUUUUGUGGGGUGCUCGAGUGGCGAACGGGUGAGUAACACGUGAGUAACCUGCCCUUGACUUUGGGAUAACUUCAGGAAACUGGGGCUAAUACCGGAUAGGAGCUCCUGCUGCAUGGUGGGGGUUGGAAAGUUUCGGCGGUUGGGGAUGGACUCGCGGCUUAUCAGCUUGUUGGUGGGGUAAUGGCUUACCAAGGCUUUGACGGGUAGCCGGCCUGCGAGGGUGACCGGCCACAUUGGGACUGAGAUACGGCCCAGACUCCUACGGGAGGCAGAAGUGGGGAAUAUUGCACAAUGGGCGGAAGCCUGAUGCAGCAACGCCGCGUGCGGGGUGACGGCCUUCGGGUUGUAAACCGCUUUCGCCUGUGACGAAGCGUGAGUGACGGUAAUGUGUAAAGAAGCACCGGCUAACUACGUG